RNAcentral lists this ribosomal RNA (253 nucleotides) under uncultured bacterium. Its description in RNAcentral is "partial 16S ribosomal RNA". It matches the Rfam family "Bacterial small subunit ribosomal RNA", at positions 524 to 776 of the family's 1533-position model. The record is from RNAcentral.
UACGUAGGUGGCUAGCGUUGUCCGGAUUUACUGGGCGUAAAGAGCGCGCAGGCGGUCGUUCAAGUCGAGUGUGAAAGCCCCCGGCUCAACUGGGGAGGGUCACUCGAUACUGAUCGACUCGAAGGCAGGAGAGGGAAGCGGAAUUCCCGGUGUAGUGGUGAAAUGCGUAGAUAUCGGGAGGAACACCAGUGGCGAAGGCGGCUUUCUGGCCUGCUCUUGACGCUGAGGCGCGAAAGCUAGGGUAGCAAACGGG